UACGGGGGGGGCAAGCGUUGUUCGGAAUUACUGGGCGUAAAGCGCGCGCAGGCGGUCUUCCAAGUCAGUGGUGAAAGCCCGGAGCUCAACUCCGGAACUGCCAUUGAAACUGUGAGACUUGAGGAUGAGAGAGGUGAGUGGAAUUCCCAGUGUAGAGGUGAAAUUCGUAGAUAUUGGGAAGAACACCGGUGGCGAAGGCGGCUCACUGGCUCAUUUCUGACGCUCAGGCGCGACAGCGUGGGGAUCAAACAGG
This 253-nucleotide ribosomal RNA is filed under the name uncultured bacterium. RNAcentral describes it as "partial 16S ribosomal RNA". It matches the Rfam family "Bacterial small subunit ribosomal RNA", at positions 524 to 776 of the family's 1533-position model. The record is from RNAcentral.